This is a long non-coding RNA of Eucalyptus grandis, 5653 nucleotides long. RefSeq lists it as hypothetical. The transcript has 3 exons. NCBI's taxonomy places the organism in Eukaryota, Viridiplantae, Streptophyta, Magnoliopsida, Myrtales, Myrtaceae. The record is from RefSeq and is a predicted model, not a curated record.
CACAAGCUGUUCACUGGUGCAACCAUGGCCGGCCCUGUAUCAACCAAUUUCAGUCCAAAAGGCGAUGCAUUUCACACGGUCAGACUGCUGUUUGAGAAGGAGGUUGCUCUCCCUUCCGUCUCUCAUCGCUCAUGUCGAGCUCGAGCCCGGAGGCCUCCGGCCACGCUCCGCCCUUGUCCUUCUGGCCGUCCAUGCGGGUAAGACGUGUUCCUAAGCUUCCAUGGAGCCAUAGGGGAGUCGAGGAUCUCGGCCGUCGUGUUCUCGGAGAACUACGGGUCCUCUGGCUGGUGCUUGGACGAGCUGGUGAGAAUCGUCGAGUGCAGGGAUACGAUGGGGCAGAUCUUGUGGCCGCUGUUCUGACAAGGUGGAUCCGUCGGGGAGUCGAGGAUCUCGGCCGUCGUGUUCUCAGGGAACUACGGGUCCUCUGGCUGGUGCUUGGACGCGCUGGUGAGAAUCGUCGAGUGCAGGGAUACGAUGGGGCAGAUCUUGUGGCCGCUGUUGGACAAGGUGGAUCCGUCGGAGGUGAGGAACCAGAGGGGCGGUAUGGACAAGCCCUAAUUGGUCACGACGAAAGGUUGAAGUCGAAGGGCGAUUCGGGGAAGGUGAAGAGGUGAGAGAGAAGCACUGACUAGAGCGGCAGACAACUCUUGCUGGCAUUUUGGUUUGACAAGUUGAAGUCGAAGGGUGAUUCGGGGAAGGUGAAGAGGUGAGAGAGAAGCACUGACAAAAGCGGCAGACAACUCUGGCUGGCAUUUUGGUUUGGCAAGUAAGACUCUCAUUUAUUCCUUUCCAAUUGUUGAUUAAGGAAUUUCAUUUACUUCCUCGGAAAUAAAAUCAGGGUAAUGUUUAUGCAUAAAAGGGGAAAAAAUCAAUUCACUCUAAUCGGAGCAGGAAAGCUUAUGUAUCGUUUCUUCACUCUAAAAGGGGAAUUUCAAAAGUCGUGCAUUGAGUAAAUAAACAUGCAGCUGGACCAUGUCCCUCGACAAGCCCCUUGAGCUUUGCAGGUUUAUUAAAAAGGAAGGUAAUGAUCUUUUUAUUGAUUAAACUUAAGGCUGACUGAGUAUUUAUCUGUUUAAUUAGGUAUCCAGAAAGUUGAUUUCCCUAUCUUCUCUUUUAGGUGCCGAUUGCUAGGAACUGAAUCUGGUUUAUAGUGCAUGAGAUAUUGACUGCGAGUUCAUCUCACUGGAGAGCAACUUAGUACUCCUUGUAUCAAUUGUAUUUGAAUCUCCUCGGGUAUUCUUCAUUGGCUUUAUGCAUGGAAUGUACCAGGCACGAGUCUUAUGUCAUUCAGAGCAUUGUCAAGAGAGCAAGGCCUGAGCUGAACAAUGAGCAGUUACAUGUUCCCAAAAACGUGGUUGACAUAAAUUUGCAUGUGUCCAAUUUGCAUACUUUGCUAGACAUGGAAUCAAAUGAGGUUUGCAUGGUUGGGAUUUGCAGAUUUGGAGAAAUAGGGAAGAUGACUUUCGCCAAAGCUACUUACAAUGCUUUUGCUCGCAAAUUUUACUGUUGCAGCUUUCUUUCCAAUGUUAGGGAAACUUGCGAGAAAUCCACAGAAGGUGGCCAACUUCAGCUUCAAGACAUUUUUUUCUCAGGUAAAAUGAGAUGAUAGUCUCAAGCUUGGCAAUCUCCCCAGAGGUAUGAACACGAUAAAGAGUAGACUUCGCCAAAAAAAGGUCCUCAUUGUCAUUGACAAUGUGAACCAGUUGAUCCAAUUCAAAACACUAGUUGGAGGACGUGAUUGGUUUGGUUGUGGAAGCAAAAAUCUCAUAAUGACUAGAGAUGAACAUUUACUGGCUUCUCAUCACAUAGAAAGCAUAUACAAGGUUCAAGUGUUACAUCAUUCUAUUGCUAGUAUGCUAUUGAGUUGGAUUGUUUUCAGGAAUCUUUCUCCUCCUUCAGAUUAUGAAGAGCUUUCAAAUAACGUAGUGGAUAACACCAAAGGACUUCCAUUAGCUAUUAAAGUUUUGGGUUCUUUUCUUUGUGGUAGAAGCUUACUUGAAUGGAUUAGUGCAUUAGAUAAUUUGAAUUGAGUUUUCAGUGGAGAAAUCUUCUGUGUGCUGAGAAUGAGCUUUGAUGGUCUAGAUGAUUAUGAGAAGGACAUAUUUCCUGACAUAGCAUGUUUCUUCAUGGAAGAGUGUAUAAGUUAUGCGAGAAAAAUUUGGGAGAGCUGUGAUCUCUACCUAGAUGGUGGAAUUGCUAUUCUUAUAGAUAAGUUGCUCAUCACUAUUAAGUAUGGCAAGCUGGAGAUGCAUGAUGUGAUUCAAGAAAUGGGAAGAGAAAUUGUUUAGAGGGAAUAUCCCAAAGAGCCAGGGGAGCGCGGCAUAUUGUGGUUCUAUGAGGAUGUGCUUCAUGUGCUAACAGAAGGCACAUUAGUAAACUGAAUCAUGGUCCUAUGUUUUUGACAAUAUAUAUAUAUGUUCGUUUGGUAGGGUUAAAGCCUCUUACGAAGAACUUUUGGCCUUUGUUAAAAAUAUGAAUGUGCACGGAAACAUGAUUUGGUAUCGAUGAUAGUUUGUGGUUUGUGUGUGUUGCGUAUAAUGUGUAUAUGAUGGACAAGGGACAAGAUAGGAUAGUUCAAGGGAUAAAAGCAAGUUUUUAUGGGAAUAGGAUAGUUUCACUAGUUUAUAAAAAUAGUUUUACAAUAGUUGAAGGAAGCGUUGGUGGAGGAGCUUCAUGAUAUGGAGUUUAUUCUCAUACUCCUCUCACACAUUUGCAUGAAUGAACUAUGGCCUUUUCAUAGGCCUUUCCACCAACUAAGUACAACUGCCUUAGAGGAUUCUGGACUUCUCAUGGAUGCUGUCCAUGUAGGCUUCAUCUUGCAGCCACCACCACAUCUCUGACUUAUUCAGAGAUUGUUUGCUUAUUACAUGUUGGACAUUUUCCAGCCACAAUCUUUAACUACCCAAAACUUCAUCUAGGGAAUUCUAGGUUGUAGUUUAGUAACUCUAGGAAAUUCUAGAAAAAUGGAUCACCAUUUCCAACAGCCUUCUACUAAAAAAUUAUGUGAAUAUAUUCUGCUAAGUAGGAAAAUGGCUUUGGUGGUCCAUAAUAGUUGCUUUUUCCAUAUCCAACCUUGAGAUGUAUGGUUUGUACUAUUGACCUCUCUCCAGAAAGUAAAUUAUAAAAAAAUCUGCAGGAACUUAAAUACUGUGGUAUUUUUUAUGAUUGAGGUCGUUUAUAAAACUCUUGUUUCAAAUGCUAAAGUUAAAGCAGAUUCUGAAAGCUAAGAACCAAAGGCACCACAAGCAUGGCAAAUCUUAUUUACUACUAGCAGAGUCCUUGCAUAACAUAGACACCUUUGCACUUAAAUCAUCUCCUCAUAUAUGUGCUGCCAGGGAACUAAUAAAGUGGAAGCAAUAAUGCUCAAGUUGGCUGCUCCUGAAGUACACUUCAGUGCUCAAGCCUUCACAAACAUGAAAAGGCUCAGAAUUUUCCAUAUACCAUUCGGGUGAUCCCAUGUACUUUCCUGUUGAGUUGAGAUGGCUGGAAUGGCCCAGUUACUCUCCACCAUCGGUGCCAUUCAAUACAGGCCACAGGAAACUUGUAGGUCUAAUCCUGAGUAAAAGCAGCAUCCGCAUACUGGGGAAAGAAUUCUAGGUACAUGCUUGCAAUAUGCUCUUCUUUUGCGAAUCUAGUCGAACUGAAAGAGUUGUUUUUGAGGGACUGUGCAGACCUUAAAAACCUUCCUUGUAGCAUUUAUACACUGCAGCAUCUUGAGCAUAUUUUUUUCUGAUAGAUGCUCACAACUUACUAAGUUCCCAGAAUUUGUGUGGGGAUCAAGUGAUUAUAUCAAUUUCUUUCUCCCAUUAGCCCUUCCGAGCGUAAUUUACUUGAUUAUGCAAAGAUGCAGCUUAUCAGAGCUUAGUUUUUUGAAAAAUCUUCAUCGCAGGUCAUUAUUGACACUUUUUUAGAUCUGUCGGAAAACAAUUUCGUUAGCCUUCCUACAUGCAUCAGUUAAUUUGCUAAGUUGCAGCAGCUUUUUUUGACACAGUGCUUGCAGCUUUGAGAGAUUCUAGCUCUCCCGCCAAACAUAACAUCUUUACUUGCGAAAGGUUGUGAAUCGCAGGAAACAUGUGUGGAUUUAUCACGCAUGUUAGGAUAUAAUCCAGACAAAUCACCUUGACUCAAACAAAUUGACUUCUCUAGCCAUCACAAGAUGAUCCAGGAUCAAUGCUCUCUCUCUCCCUCCCCCCGCCCCUCACGCACAUGUUUUUGUGUUUGUGUCGAGUGUAAAAUGGUGUAAACUGUACCAAUUAGCAGGGACUGCUUGGUGAGUCUUGGGUUGACAUUUUUUAUCCCAGAAGCAAGAUCCCAAAGCAGUUCAUCCAUCAAAGCAUGAGAGGACUAAUAAGGUUUCCUGUAUCUUCCGAGUUAUACUGUGAUAUAGCCAGCUUGGCCUUUUGUGCCAUUAUCGGUUCAGCUAAUUGAAAGAAAGUCAUUAUUUCAUGCGAGAUCCAGUUGUUUGUCAAUAAUCAAGAAGCUUAUGGUGGUGUAGAUUGUUUUUGCUCGUUACAGUUUGACCACAUAUGAUGGGGGGAUUGGGCUCUCAAUUGCUGAAUGAUAGCAGUCAUUCUACGGUACUGUUUCAAACAUAGGAAACUGCAGGGUGCAUCUGGCGUACGCACAAGGUAAGCAACUAAAUGAAACAAAGAUUGACAAAGCGUCGAUCCUCUGAAUUCGAACACGGACCUCGCAAGUUCCGAUGUCUGAAGCUCCGAAACAAAGGUAAGAUUUUCAGACAGUACACUAGGAUUUGAAAUUAGCUUUCUCGCAGUUUCAGUUAGGGGGUCAUGUUGAAACCCUUUUGAAUAGCUUUGAUUGCGUCUCCUCACAGCGGAAACAAACCUGCUGAUGUGCUUUUCUUUACCCUCAGAUUUAUGUGGUCUAAGUCAAUAUUCAGAAAUUUUCUUGUCGACACGUAUCACGACCAAGCCCAAGAAGAAGGGCUUUAAAUAAAGAAAUAUAAUUUCCCAAUAGGCACUAAUCUAUCUUUUGUUAGUCUUCGUCCAAUCACGUCACACGCAGAUUUGAAGAAACCAGAUACGAAGAAAAUGAAUUGAGACUGAGAGCAAAGUUAGCAGAUUUUAACAAAUUCCCCAAUUUACGGAAGGAACGUCUCCUCUAAUGGUAACUACAUCCUCCUCAGACCAUAACUCCCCCAGACUUCUACUAGUGAGAAGAGACUUUAGUAUGCUGUUGGUUGGAUGUUGGUGGCUUCCUGGGUAGGAUUCGAGCAAGAUCUGGUUGCGGCCACUUGACUUACUCCAAGGCAGGACUCCCGAACAACAAAACUCAAGGAUUGAGGGGAGUGGGGUGACAUUAUGAAGUAAUCGAACAGUAAUUUCAUAGAUGGGUUUCUAAGGUGUUGUGUCUAAGAGAAGUGGUUCUUCAUUUUGGGAAAAUGAUGUUUAGGUUUCUGUGAUUUGGGUGGAAAGUUGAAUGGGCGAUACGAAUUUCUAGGGUUUGUUUGGGCAUACUAUCACCAUUUCGAUAGGGGGUAGCUCACCGAGGUGAGAGAGAUUCUCCGAUGGUAUAGAGAGAUUCUACCCAUGGCUUGAUUCGAAGCAAAUUCUUCGGCGAACAGCCGAAUCGCACAGAACAAAGCCAAGUCGAACGUGGGUUUUGAAACGAUUCAAAGAAAAGCUCUCAAGAA